This 429-nucleotide ribosomal RNA is filed under the name uncultured Coxiella sp. RNAcentral describes it as "bacterial SSU rRNA". It matches the Rfam family "Bacterial small subunit ribosomal RNA", at positions 356 to 777 of the family's 1533-position model. Lineage: Bacteria; Pseudomonadati; Pseudomonadota; Gammaproteobacteria; Legionellales; Coxiellaceae. The record is from RNAcentral.
GGGGAAUAUUGGACAAUGGGCGAAAGCCUGAUCCAGCAACGCCGCGUGUGUGAAGAAGGCCUUAGGGUUGUAAAGCACUUUCAAUGGGGAAGAAAAAGCCAAAACUAAUAAGUUUGGAAAUUGACGUUACCCAUAGAAGAAGCACUGGCUAACUCUGUGCCAGCAGCCGCGGUAAUACAGAGAGUGCAAGCGUUAAUCGGAAUUACUGGGCGUAAAGCGCGCGUAGGCGGGUAUUUUAGUCGGAUGUGAAAGCCCUGAGCUUAACUUGGGAAUUGCAUUCGAUACUGGGUGUCUGGAGUAUGGUAGAGGGAAGUGGAAUUUCUGGUGUAGCGGUGAAAUGCGUAGAUAUCAGAAAGAACACCAGUGGCGAAGGCGACUUCCUGGACCAAUACUGACGCUGAGGCGCGAAAGCGUGGGGAGCAAACAGGA